UACAGAGGCCUCAAGCGUUGUUCGGAUUCAUUGGGCGUAAAGGGUGCGUAGGUGGCGAGGCAAGUCAGGUGUGAAAUCCCAGGGCUCAACCCUGGAACUGCACUUGAUACUACUUUGCUUGAGUACUGGAGAGGAGAUUGGAAUUUACGGUGUAGCAGUGAAAUGCGUAGAUAUCGUAAGGAAGACCAGUGGCGAAGGCGAAUCUCUGGACAGUUACUGACACUGAGGCACGAAGGCCAGGGGAGCAAACGGG
RNAcentral lists this ribosomal RNA (253 nucleotides) under uncultured bacterium. RNAcentral describes it as "partial 16S ribosomal RNA". It matches the Rfam family "Bacterial small subunit ribosomal RNA", at positions 524 to 776 of the family's 1533-position model. The record is from RNAcentral.